GAUCCUGGCUCAGAAUCAACGCUGGCGGCGUGCCUAACACAUGCAAGUCGCACGAGAAAGGGUAGCAAUACCUGAGUAAAGUGGCGCACGGGUGAGUAACACGUGAAUUAUCUACCUCCGAGUGGGGAAUAACUGAGAGAAAUCUUAGCUAAUACCGCAUAACACUUACGAGUCAAAGCAGUAAUGCGCUUGGAGAGGAGUUCGCGGCAGAUUAGUUAGUUGGCGGGGUAAUGGCCCACCAAGACGAUGAUCUGUAUCCGGCCUGAGAGGGCGCACGGACACACUGGAACUGAAACACGGUCCAGACUCCUACGGGAGGCAGCAGUGGGGAAUUUUGCGCAAUGGGGGAAACCCUGACGCAGCAAUGCCGCGUGGAGGAUGAAAUCCCUUGGGAUGUAAACUCCUUUCGAUAGGGAAGAUUAUGACGGUACCUAUAGAAGAAGCCCCGGCUAACUUCGUGCCAGCAGCCGCGGUAAUACGAGGGGGGCAAGCGUUGUUCGGAUUUAUUGGGCGUAAAGGGUGCGUAGGCGGUUUGGCAAGUCUUGUGUGAAAUCUUUGGGCUCAACCCAAAGCCUGCACAAGAAACUGCCGGGCUUGAGUAUGAGAGAGGUGAGUGGAAUUUCCGGUGUAGCGGUGAAAUGCGUAGAUAUCGGAAGGAACACCUGUGGCGAAAGCGGCUCACUGGACCAU
RNAcentral lists this ribosomal RNA (690 nucleotides) under uncultured Acidobacteriota bacterium. RNAcentral's name for it is "bacterial SSU rRNA". It matches the Rfam family "Bacterial small subunit ribosomal RNA", at positions 15 to 737 of the family's 1533-position model. The record is from RNAcentral. Lineage: Bacteria; Pseudomonadati; Acidobacteriota.